This 74-nucleotide transfer RNA is filed under the name Dipodomys ordii (Ord's kangaroo rat). It matches the Rfam family "tRNA". From Rfam's summary of the family: Transfer RNA (tRNA) molecules are approximately 80 nucleotides in length. Their secondary structure includes four short double-helical elements and three loops (D, anti-codon, and T loops). Further hydrogen bonds mediate the characteristic L-shaped molecular structure. tRNAs have two regions of fundamental functional importance: the anti-codon, which is responsible for specific mRNA codon recognition, and the 3' end, to which the tRNAs corresponding amino acid is attached (by aminoacyl-tRNA synthetases). tRNAs cope with the degeneracy of the genetic code in two manners: having more than one tRNA (with a specific anti-codon) for a particular amino acid; and 'wobble' base-pairing, i.e. permitting non-standard base-pairing at the 3rd anti-codon position. The record is from Rfam by way of RNAcentral. Lineage: Eukaryota; Metazoa; Chordata; Mammalia; Rodentia; Heteromyidae.
AAAGAUGUGGCUCAAGUGGUAGAGCAUCUGCCUGGGAAAGUGCAAGAUCCUGAGUUCAAAUCCCAGUAUCUCCA